This 1314-nucleotide ribosomal RNA is filed under the name uncultured fungus. RNAcentral's name for it is "eukaryotic LSU rRNA". The stretch from base 622 to 1314 matches the Rfam family "Eukaryotic large subunit ribosomal RNA", at positions 1 to 667 of the family's 3401-position model. Lineage: Eukaryota; Fungi. The record is from RNAcentral.
CUUGGUCAUUUAGAGGAAGUAAAAGUCGUAACAAGGUUUCCGUAGGUGAACCUGCGGAAGGAUCAUUAUCGAAAUUAUUGGUGAGGGUUGUAGCUGGCCUUUCGGGGCAUGUGCACGCCUGAGCCCUUAAUCCACCCACACCUGUGAACCUAAUGUAGGUCGCCCCUCAAAAAGGUGGCCUAUGUCUUACUCAUCGACCCAUCGUAUGUCUCAUAGAAUGUAAAUCGAUAUCCUCGCCCUAAAAAAGCGUUGAUAAACUUAUACAACUUUCAACAACGGAUCUCUUGGCUCUCGCAUCGAUGAAGAACGCAGCGAAAUGCGAUAAGUAAUGUGAAUUGCAGAUUUUCAGUGAAUCAUCGAAUCUUUGAACGCACCUUGCGCUCCUUGGUAUUCCGAGGAGCAUGCCUGUUUGAGCGUCAUUAAAUUCUCAACUCCAAGGGUUUCACGACCUUUUUGGGGAUUGGACUUGGAGCGUGCCGGCGUCGACGUCGGCUCCUCUCAAAUGCAUCGGCGGAAUUCGAUCUUUGGCUUCCGGACAAUCAGUGUGAUAAUCGUGUUGCGCUGUCGUCUGAAUCCUCAAAGCCCGCUCAUAAUGGUCUUCGGACAAAUCAUCAUCAAAUUUGACCUCAAAUCAGGUAGGACUACCCGCUGAACUUAAGCAUAUCAAUAAGCGGAGGAAAAGAAACUAACAAGGAUUCCCCUAGUAACUGCGAGUGAAGCUGGAAAAGCUCAAAUUUAAAAUCUGGCGGUCGAAAGCCGUCCGAGUUGUAAUCUGGAGAAGCGUUUAUCCGCGUUGGACCGUGUACAAGUCUUCUGGAAGGGAGCGUCAUAGAGGGUGAGAAUCCCGUCUUUGACACGGACAACCAAGGCUUUUGUGAUGCGCUCUCGAAGAGUCGAGUUGUUUGGGAAUGCAGCUCAAAAUGGGUGGUAAAUUCCAUCUAAAGCUAAAUAUUGGCGAGAGACCGAUAGCGAACAAGUACCGUGAGGGAAAGAUGAAAAGCACUUUGGAAAGAGAGUUAAACAGUACGUGAAAUUGUUGAAAGGGAAACGUUUGAAGUCAGUCGCGUCGGCCGAGACUCAGCCUUGCUAUCCGCUCGGUGCACUUCUCGGUUGACGGGUCAGCAUCAAUUUUGACCGCCGGAUAAAGGUCGAGGGAACGUGGCAUCUUUCGAGGUGUGUUAUAGCCCUUGAUUCGCAUACGGCGAUUGGGAUUGAGGAACUCAGCGCGCCUUUAUGGUCGGGGUAUCUACCCACGUUAACGCGCUCAGGAUGCCGGCAUAAUGGCUUUAAGCGACCCGUCUUGAAACACGGACC